This 166-nucleotide unclassified non-coding RNA is filed under the name soil metagenome. RNAcentral's name for it is "partial contains 5.8S ribosomal RNA, internal transcribed spacer 2, and large subunit ribosomal RNA". The record is from RNAcentral.
AACGCACGAGACCUGCGGACCUGCGGAGGGAUCAUUAGUGAACGCCCUCACGGGCUUAUAACUAUUCCGAACCUCUGUGAACCGUGCCCUUCGGGGCUAUUUUACAAACAUGGUGUAAUGAACGUCAUAUAUCAUAACAAAACAAAACUUUUAACAAUGGAUCUCU